This 654-nucleotide ribosomal RNA is filed under the name Pediococcus pentosaceus. RNAcentral's name for it is "bacterial SSU rRNA". It matches the Rfam family "Bacterial small subunit ribosomal RNA", at positions 64 to 694 of the family's 1533-position model. The record is from RNAcentral. Lineage: Bacteria; Bacillati; Bacillota; Bacilli; Lactobacillales; Lactobacillaceae.
GAUUAUGACGUACUUGUACUGAUUGAGAUUUUAACACGAAGUGAGUGGCGAACGGGUGAGUAACACGUGGGUAACCUGCCCAGAAGUAGGGGAUAACACCUGGAAACAGAUGCUAAUACCGUAUAACAGAGAAAACCGCAUGGUUUUCUUUUAAAAGAUGGCUCUGCUAUCACUUCUGGAUGGACCCGCGGCGUAUUAGCUAGUUGGUGAGGUAAAGGCUCACCAAGGCAGUGAUACGUAGCCGACCUGAGAGGGUAAUCGGCCACAUUGGGACUGAGACACGGCCCAGACUCCUACGGGAGGCAGCAGUAGGGAAUCUUCCACAAUGGACGCAAGUCUGAUGGAGCAACGCCGCGUGAGUGAAGAAGGGUUUCGGCUCGUAAAGCUCUGUUGUUAAAGAAGAACGUGGGUAAGAGUAACUGUUUACCCAGUGACGGUAUUUAACCAGAAAGCCACGGCUAACUACGUGCCAGCAGCCGCGGUAAUACGUAGGUGGCAAGCGUUAUCCGGAUUUAUUGGGCGUAAAGCGAGCGCAGGCGGUCUUUUAAGUCUAAUGUGAAAGCCUUCGGCUCAACCGAAGAAGUGCAUUGGAAACUGGGAGACUUGAGUGCAGAAGAGGACAGUGGAACUCUUGGGGUGAACGGGGGGGGAGGA